RNAcentral lists this ribosomal RNA (870 nucleotides) under uncultured bacterium. RNAcentral describes it as "bacterial SSU rRNA". It matches the Rfam family "Bacterial small subunit ribosomal RNA", at positions 8 to 886 of the family's 1533-position model. The record is from RNAcentral.
AGAGUUUGAUCAUGGCUCAGGAUGAACGCUGGCGGCGUGCUUAACACAUGCAAGUCGAACGCUGAAGCCCCAGCUUGCUGGGGUGGAUGAGUGGCGAACGGGUGAGUAACACGUGAGUAACCUUCCCUUGACUCUGGGAUAAGCCCGGGAAACUGGGUCUAAUACCGGAUACGACCUCCUGCCGCAUGGUGUGGGGGUGGAAAGAUUUAUCGGUUUUGGAUGGACUCGCGGCCUAUCAGCUUGUUGGUGAGGUAAUGGCUCACCAAGGCGACGACGGGUAGCCGGCCUGAGAGGGUGACCGGCCACACUGGGACUGAGACACGGCCCAGACUCCUACGGGAGGCAGCAGUGGGGAAUAUUGCACAAUGGGCGCAAGCCUGAUGCAGCGACGCCGCGUGAGGGAUGACGGCCUUCGGGUUGUAAACCUCUUUCAGUAGGGAAGAAGCGAAAGUGACGGUACCUGCAGAAGAAGCGCCGGCUAACUACGUGCCAGCAGCCGCGGUAAUACGUAGGGCGCGAGCGUUAUCCGGAAUUAUUGGGCGUAAAGAGCUCGUAGGCGGUUUGUCGCGUCUGCCGUGAAAGUCCGGGGCUUAACCCCGGAUCUGCGGUGGGUACGGGCAGACUAGAGUGCAGUAGGGGAGACUGGAAUUCCUGGUGUAGCGGUGAAAUGCGCAGAUAUCAGGAGGAACACCGAUGGCGAAGGCAGGUCUCUGGGCUGUUACUGACGCUGAGGAGCGAAAGCAUGGGGAGCGAACAGGAUUAGAUACCCUGGUAGUCCAUGCCGUAAACGUUGGGCACUAGGUGUGGGGGACAUUCCACGUUUUCCGCGCCGCAGCUAACGCAUUAAGUGCCCCGCCUGGGGAGUACGGC